AACGAACGCUGGCGGCAGGCUUAACACAUGCAAGUCGAGCGCAACCUUCGGGGUUUGCGGCGGUCGGGUGAGUAACGCCGGGGAACGUACCCGCUUCUACGGAAUCGUCUCGGGAAACUGAGAUUAAUGCCGCAGACGCCCGCAACGGGAAAGAGUUAUCGGAGGAGGGUCGGGCCGCGUAGGAUUAGGUAGUUGGUGGUGUAACGGCCUACCAUCCCGACGUUCCCUAGCUGGUUGGUGAGGAUGACCCGCCAGACUGGGACUGCGACCCGGCCCAGAAUCGUACGGGAGGGAGCAGUGGGGAAUCUUGGAAAAUGGGGGCAACUCUGAUCCAGCCACGCGGCGUGAUCGAUGAAGGGGUUAGGGUUGUAAAGAUGUUUCAGAUGGGAAGAUAAUGACGGUACCAGCAGAAGAAGCCCCGGCUAACUACGUG
RNAcentral lists this ribosomal RNA (433 nucleotides) under uncultured bacterium. RNAcentral describes it as "partial 16S ribosomal RNA". It matches the Rfam family "Bacterial small subunit ribosomal RNA", at positions 29 to 507 of the family's 1533-position model. The record is from RNAcentral.